RNAcentral lists this non-coding RNA (932 nucleotides) under Emydocephalus ijimae. RNAcentral also lists the same sequence under 1 other name. The record is from RNAcentral. Lineage: Eukaryota; Metazoa; Chordata; Lepidosauria; Squamata; Elapidae.
CAAGGUCUUGGUCUUAAACCUCUUAUUAUCUAAACUCCCUACUUAUACAUGCAAGCCUCAACAUAACAGUGAAACAGCCCACCACAGCCAUUACGGAGCAGGUAUCAGGCCAACCGCCCAUAACACCAAGUAAUAAACCACACCCUCACGGGCCAGCAGCAGUAAUUAAUAUUGGGCCAUAAGCGCAAGCUUGACCCAAUAACAGAGUUCUGCCCAGGGUUGGUAAACCUCGUGCCAGCGACCGCGGUUAUACGACAAACCCAAGAUAAUACCAUCGGCGUAAAGCACGACUAAACCCCAUAGUUUUAACCAUUAGGGCUGAAAUCUAAACCUGGUUGUAAAAAGCCACAAGUAACACUAAACACCAGGCCCUAAUACAAAAACAACCUUAACUCGUGAAAGUCAGGACACAAACUAAGAUUAGAUACCUUACUAUGCCCGACCAUAACAAGACAAUUAAAUAACCGAUUGUUCGCCAAAUAACUACGAGUGAAAACUUAAAAUUUAAAAGACUUGACGGUACCUCACAUCUACCUAGAGGAGCCUGUCUAAUAACCGAUAACCCACGAUUAACCCAACCCACUCUAGCCUAACAGUCUAUAUACCGCCGUCGCCAGCUUACCUUGUGAAAGAAUCAUAGUAAGCCCAAUAAUACCCCAUUAACACGACAGGUCGAGGUGUAACUAAUGAGUGGGACCAAGAUGGGCUACACUUUCUUAAACAGAAAAAACGAACAGACUAUGAAACUAGAAACUGAAGGAGGAUUUAGCAGUAAAGUAGGAACAGACAAGCCUAACUGAAACCAACGCAAUGAAGUGCGCACACACCGCCCGUCAUCCCUGUAAAAUUCACAACACAUAAAUAAACAAUGUGAUCAAACCAAACAGGGCAAGUCGUAACAUGGUAAGCGUACUGGAAAGUGUGCUUAGAAA